Molecule: non-coding RNA, 89 nt
Organism: Danio rerio (zebrafish)
Lineage: Eukaryota; Metazoa; Chordata; Actinopteri; Cypriniformes; Danionidae
Source: Rfam
GGCUCUGUGGUGCAAUGGAUAGCGCAUUGGACUUAUAGGCUGUGAGCUGAGCCAUUCAAAGGUUGUGGGUUCGAGUCCCACCAGAGUCG